This is a long non-coding RNA of Zingiber officinale, 3426 nucleotides long. RefSeq lists it as uncharacterized. Lineage: Eukaryota; Viridiplantae; Streptophyta; Magnoliopsida; Zingiberales; Zingiberaceae. The transcript has 7 exons. The record is from RefSeq and is a predicted model, not a curated record.
AAUCCUCUCCUCUCUUGUUCUUGAUGACCUUAUUAUGUUGGCGAUUACUUAGCUUUGGCGGUGGGUGAAUGAAGCAGAAGAGGAAUGGGAAGCGCCGGUCCUAUUCUUCACGUCAUCUGGAAGCAAUUGAGAUAUGCUGAAAUAUGCAAGCAAAGGCUCGAUCAUGCCAUUCUCACCUUUUCCAGAAUUUUAGAAAAUCAUAAGUUGUUGAUCAUGCAUCAUAUUUAUUCAAGUCAUGAAGAAACUUGAAAAGGAACCAUCAAAUAGGGAUGCCUUUAUUGAGAAAUUGCACCAAGAGAAUGAGAAGCUAUUUGAUAGGCUUACAGAUAAAUCAUCACUUUCUUCAUCACCUCAGAAAUGUCAAUCCAAGAUGAACUACCAACAAUUGGAGCGCUCUGCGCAAUAAAGCAUCUACUGCCCAAGUCUUGUCAACUAGUUUGAUCACACUUAUAGUUAAAUUUUUAUGCAUUGGUAUUCUUUGCAAUUCAUCAUUCCAAACUAUUUCUCUAUGAAAAUUGCAUUCAUUCUCCAAGUUCUCUAAAGUUAUUAUGAUCGGUUCCCUUAUGGGAAAACAAGACCAGGAUCUUAGUUACCAUUUAUGGACAUUUGGACUAUUCCGUUGCAAAGAUUAUAUUAUAAAGAAUUAUCCUUUUGGUUUAAAAAUUAGAACCCAAUAACACUUCUUUUUCUACCAUAUUAAACAAUCUAGGUUGUUGGAAGCUUGGCAUAUCGCUUGUUGAAGCCAUCAAAUUGUUGAUUGAUGCUCAAAGUUCCUGCAUUAGAAAAGCACUUUCAGAGGUAAUGAGGAGAUAGAAGAACUUGGCGGAUGAGCCUUCUUGUACCUGACAGUGCACACCCGAGGGCUUCUUUGAUUAGUCUACUUUUCUACUGGCAUUAGGAGUUGGGUCCUCUAGUCGGAUGGAUGCAUUCACGGAGCUAUUUUCUUGUUGCAUUGGGAGGUUUAAACUCUCACUCAUUACUUGAUGGCAUGAGGACUACCGCUCUUUUGUGAUUUGGAAGCUUGCUUUUCUUGGAAGCUAAGAUUUUCUAUAGUUGUUGCAGUUAAUAAUUUGCCUGAUAUAUGUGAUGUUUUGGUUUUUGUGGAUCUGCACUAGAUUUUCCUUCUAUUUGAAGUUAAAAUAUUGGUUUACCGGCAAAGAACUCAGCCUGCUAUAUUUAUGGUUUUGGAGUUGAGUUUUCUUUAUCUGAAAGACUUUCUAUUUUGAUUUUCUGCUCCUGAAACCUCAGUGUUUGUUUUUUGAAAACUUGUGGGCUAUCUCUGAAAUUAGGAUUCCAUGUUUAGAUGUGAAUUUUGUUACACUGGUUUCUGGAUUUGUGUUCUCUGCAAUUUGUAACAUUGUUGAUGAGUCUUAUUUUUAGUGUCUGUAAUUUGUUAUUUGUGAAUAAAGGCAGGUUUUUUAGUGUUCUAGUGACUGGAGUCAGCUUCAAAUGUUACUGAAUUAUGAAGCUGCAUUGGUUUUUAUCUAGGCAUCAAAAGGAUCCAAAAUCUUAGAAGGGAGAAGAAUAUGUAGAUCUCUUAAAAGGAGCUAUUGAAACUAUACUAGAUUUCCAUAAAGUUGCCCACAACUCCACAUCUGGUUUCACUCGUGAUAUGGGGUGCACUCUCGACUUUCAUUUUUAUUAUAUUACUAUCCUAGUUAAUUAUUAUUUGAUUCAAGAGGUAAUAUUGAUGCUUGGACUGUAGUACUGAAAUCAAGAACUGAUAUAUCUCCUUUUUAUCUAAAUUUGCCAAAAAAUCCUAAUUUUAUUUGCUAGAUCUUAAUUUUAUUAGUACAACAUUUGUACAAAUUGUAAUAUUGUCACCGCUUCUAUUCACUGAUGCUUAUUAUCAUUCUUAAGAGUGUCUUAUGUACAAACACAAGAAAUUAUUUAGUUUCUUUCCUCAAAUUAUUUUGAAAUCCUACCAAAGUCCUCCUAUCUACCUUGUCGAUAACUACAACUUUGGGUAUUUAGUUAUAUAAAUGACCCAUUUUUUUCAUUUUACUUCCUCACUUUAAAACUUACAAUUGUUAGCACUUAUAGUUUCCAACCAAAUAAGCAAUAUAAGGAUGAGUUAACACUUUGAUUAUGACGUCAAUACCAUGCUAUCCUAGUCAGUACAAUGAAAAAGAAAGAAAUAAAAAGCUUAGCCUUGAUCAGACAAUCUAUAUUAUUAUCUAAUCAUUUUACUUAUUAAUGUUAUCAUUUAGGGAUAGCUAAUAUGAAUCAUUGAAAAUUAUGUCCAUUGAACAAACUGAGAGAAAUAUAAGUUCUUAACUUUUAAUGUAGUAGGAAAUUAUUAGAAUAUGACAAAUAGACAUGCCACACCUUCAACUUAAGUAGAGUUUGCAUGUGUUUUUAUUAAUGUGUAAAAUUUUCUUUGUUAUUUCUCAAUGUCUCAUGCUUUAUUUUGUUAUGGGAUUAUAUAUGGAGAUCUUUUUCAUGCACUUUACUUUUAUUUUUGAGUUAACAACUUUGAAACAAUAUAUUCCAAUUCACAAAAGCUAUUUUUUGAUGGCUAUGAAAAGCUCCAUGAAGUUGAGGUACUAAAGCAUAAUAGUGGUAGGAAGAAAUAUAAACUCAUUUAAUGCUUAUCUAUCUUUAGAAUUGGGCUUGAUGGAUGGUCCCCUUUUGGGAAAUUUAAUGAAUGUAAGAAAUGUUGGUUGGGAAACAAUAUUUGAAUUUGAAUUUGAAUUUCGAAUUGUUUAAUAAUUGGCUAUGCUAAUUUAUUUGCUUUAUUUGCUAUCUUUAAUUUGGAUAGGCAAUUAAUAAGGAUUGUUGAGUGAUUUAAAUCGAUUAUUUCUCUGCUAGUUUUUAUAGUACUAAGUCUAAAAUGUGUAGCAAUGUCCCUUUAUAAUGGCAAGCUUAAAUUACAAGUAUUCCACUUUAUCUUCUCUAAGUGAGGAUUUCUCCUCUAUGUGAGAUGUAGUUCCUUGCUACAUCAAUUGACAUAAUGAGUUGAACUUGAUCCCCAUGCCCUACCUUACACCUACUUCUUUGUCAUCACACACGCCGAUCUUAGUUUCCAUCUCUCUAAAUAAAUGUCUUUCGACAAAAAAAAUCAUGCAAAGCAAUUUAACUCGUGAUUGCGACUACCUUUUUUUGCCUCCUUUGGACUCUUAUGCCUAAUAUUAUAACACAUUCGGAAGCAUGCCAACUUGGUUGAAGGGUGUGAGAUCUUGGGUGAGUGUGCUGCAUCUUAUCCAUCAAUAGGAAAUAACAUUUUCUUUUAGAAGAGUUGGCUUGUCAACACUCCAACCACAUAAUGAGUUUUUGAAACUUUCAUUCUUUGCCAUGGUCGCAAUGUUUUAUUUUCUGUCCAUUAGGUUUUUUUUUUAAGUUAUAUUAACUCUUUAUUUCUAAACAGCUGUUCUGUCCAUACCUGUGUACUAUAUCUUACAUUCACUGGGUUGGGCUGAGCAGAUA